This 292-nucleotide ribosomal RNA is filed under the name uncultured bacterium. RNAcentral's name for it is "partial 16S ribosomal RNA". It matches the Rfam family "Bacterial small subunit ribosomal RNA", at positions 505 to 796 of the family's 1533-position model. The record is from RNAcentral.
GUGUCAGCAGCCGCGGUAAUACGAAGGGUGCUAGCGUUGUUCGGAAUCACUGGGCGUAAAGCGCGCGUAGGCGGCCAGACAAGUCAGGGGUGAAAUGCCGGAGCUUAACUCCGGAACUGCCUUUGAAACUGUCUGGCUUGAGACUCGGAGGGGAUAGCGGAAUUCCUAAUGUAGAGGUGAAAUUCGUAGAUAUUAGGAGGAACACCGGUGGCGAAGGCGGCUAUCUGGACGAGUACUGACGCUGAGGCGCGAAAGCGUGGGGAUCAAACAGGAUUAGAUACCCCCGUAGUCC